RNAcentral lists this ribosomal RNA (496 nucleotides) under uncultured bacterium. Its description in RNAcentral is "partial 16S ribosomal RNA". It matches the Rfam family "Bacterial small subunit ribosomal RNA", at positions 29 to 507 of the family's 1533-position model. The record is from RNAcentral.
ACGAACGCUGGCGGCGUGCCUAAUACAUGCAAGUAGAACGCUGAAGAGAGGAGCUUGCUCUUCUUGGAUGAGUUGCGAACGGGUGAGUAACGCGUAGGUAACCUGCCUUGUAGCGGGGGAUAACUAUUGGAAACGAUAGCUAAUACCGCAUAACAAUGGAUGACACAUGUCAUUUAUUUGAAAGGGGCAAUUGCUCCACUACAGGAUGGACCUGCGUUGUAUUAGCUAGUAGGUGAGGUAACGGCUCACCUAGGCGACGAUACAUAGCCGACCUGAGAGGGUGAUCGGCCACACUGGGACUGAGACACGGCCCAGACUCCUACGGGAGGCAGCAGUAGGGAAUCUUCGGCAAUGGGGGCAACCCUGACCGAGCAACGCCGCGUGAGUGAAGAAGGUUUUCGGAUCGUAAAGCUCUGUUGUAAGUCAAGAACGAGUGUGAGAGUGGAAAGUUUACACUGUGACGGUAGCUUACCAGAAAGGGACGGCUAACUACGUG